GUAGUCUUCACCGGAGACUCGUUGUGCGCUCACUAAAAAUUUUAAUAAAAAAAUUAAAAAUAAAAUAUUCAUACGUGUUUUAUCAGUGACUUGGCACGAGAAGCUUCUUAAUUUGCAAUUUUUUUAUUUGGGAUCAAAAUACUGAUUUUCAACGGCUUUUUUCAGACUUAUGUGUCCAUGAGGAGCAAGAUUUUAGACUGUCAAGGCAACUCCCCGACGUUUUUACCCAGUGUCAGGCUAACCAAGAAUCUUCAGACUCGCAAAGGGAGUCGACGUGCUAAUUCUGGGAAUCGUUUGGAGUUGUUGGUUCUAGUCCAUUUACAUCACGUGCCUUAGGCAUCUACAAAAACAGUCGGAAACCUGCGGCAGCAGCGGUCGCAAAAUCGAGUUAAGUUAAAUAGAUUCAUAAGCUGCUUCCGAACCAUUGGCACUGCUCUAAACUACAUAUAUCAGCUCAAAAAACAUCAGGGGAUCCAAGGCUAAAUUUCUAAUCAGUAAUCGAAAGAAGAAAUAUCAAAAUGGUCCAUGGAAAAUGUAGUGGUGCUCUCAAGGGACCUUACCAAGAAUGCAAAAAAGAAAAAGACGUUAAUGUUUCUAGCAGUCAUCAACAGCGAUCACAAUCUCAACAACAACAACAGAAAGAUAAAGAUAAUAAAUAUGGAGCCUGGGGUCCAGUAUAUAAAGACAGACAAAAUUUCAUCAAUAUGCAUCUUUGUUGAGUUUUUAAUUCUCUAAUUAAUUAACGAGACGUGCACCUGAGUCAUCACUUAAGAAUGUUGGACAUAUGUUUUUUUAAAUCUGAAGUCUUAUAAUUUACAAUCUUUAAACUACACAUCUGCACUUUUGUUUCCAAAGAUUUGUUUUAUUUUUUUUUUAAAUUAUUUUUUUAGAAAAGAAAUAUUUUAUAUUCUACUCCAGGAUUUUAAAUUUUUUUAUCAAAGGCAAGACGAGGAAUAUAAUUUUUUAACCGAAUUAUUGGAAACUGGUAUUUAGUUCAAGAGAAAUCAAAUAACAAAUAGAAAUCUAAUGGUUUUGAUUUAUUUUUCAAUUUUUUUUUUAUUUUUUCAAAGAAUCAUGAUCGUUUUUUAAACUGUUUUCUACCAUAUAAUCGAAAAUAAUCAAAUUGUAGAGCAUCAUAAAAAGUGUCGAAAACUGAGCAAUCGAGUGCAUGUCUUGUGUUAAUAAUUUUUUUUAAAGAUCAAUAUAAAUUCCAGAUGUUUUUCAUGCUGAAAAUACUACCGUCAAAUUUAAGAAAAGAGUUAGCUACUGUCGUUUCUCAUAAUGAUGAUUCUUAGGAAUCGGAAAAUUCGCGAGAAUCGAAAUUAUGGAUGUUGAUGAAAGCGUCAAUUUUCUUCAGCUUAGAAAAGAUUUUUCACUCUUUAUAUAUCAAUCUUCAAUAUUAGGUAUUAUUUUGAGAGAAGUAUUAUAUGAUUUUAUUUUUUGAGAAAAAGUUUCAAAAAUAAUCUUUAACAUUUUUAAUCAAAUUUCUGACUGAAGAAAAUUCGACUGAGAAGUGACAAUGGUUCGGUAAUAAUAUUUGACAUGAUGGUAUAUAUUUUUUAUUAUUAAAGAUUAAUCUUAUUAUUGGCGGAUAAAAGAAAGCAUAGGUGGAAUGCUUGUUUGACAUGAUAGAAUAUUAUAUUAUACAUGGUGUUUUAUUAUCGUUAAAAUACAUAUUUUGCUUUCAACUAUUAUAAUCUUGAGCUGAGGUAUAUUAUAUUAUAUUCUCCUAGCGAGGUAGGUUUGUUUAUUAUUUGGAUAAAAAAUAUACUAGGGGUCAAUUUAUCCUCGAAUUUAUCUAUACGUUCAGACAUUACAUUUUUUAUUCAAUUUCACAACAAAAAAUAAAAAAAAAACUUAAAUUUUACAUUAGAUUUUGAAAAUUAUGACAGAUUGAGGUAUGUAAGCUGUUCGAUAAAUGGCCCUAAGCAAUAUAAAACUUGAGAAUAAUAAAAACGCUCUCAAUAAUAAAA
Belonocnema kinseyi is the source of this 1973-nucleotide long non-coding RNA. RefSeq lists it as uncharacterized. The transcript is spliced from 4 exons. Lineage: Eukaryota; Metazoa; Arthropoda; Insecta; Hymenoptera; Cynipidae. The record is from RefSeq and is a predicted model, not a curated record.